Long non-coding RNA from Tympanuchus pallidicinctus (lesser prairie-chicken), 1766 nucleotides. RefSeq lists it as uncharacterized. The transcript is spliced from 2 exons. Lineage: Eukaryota; Metazoa; Chordata; Aves; Galliformes; Phasianidae. The record is from RefSeq and is a predicted model, not a curated record.
CUGACACCUGCAGUGAAAAUACCUGACUGAAGCACAGAUAAAAGCAGGAAUGAAUUAGUAUUCCUGGCUGUAUGCAAAGUAACCUGCUGUUCAAGGCUUCCAGGUCAUCAGAUCUCUGCCAGCAAAAGCAGAGCUGCCUCAGGUGGACAAAUGUAAGAUGGCCAUCUUCAUGCUUUCAGAAGGGAAAGAUCUACUGCUGUAGACAGAUGAGGCUGCUUGCACGCUAUAAAAGAGAGCCAGAGCCACAGAGCCUACCAGGAGUGAUAAUUUUCAGGCUGUGUGGCUGCUUUCCAAAAACCACUGUGUGAAGAUCUCACGUUCAUGAGGGCGUGCAGCUUGGAAGAAUGGACCUGUUCACACAUGAAUAUCCCUAGGAACAAAGUCAGAACUUAUGGAUUCUUGCUGUUGCUGCGAGCUUUGCCCACAUGCUGCUCUGGCAGAUUUACAGUGCAUUAACAAGCAUAAGUGGUGAUAGGGGAGCUGGCUUGGCUGCACUGUGUGCUUUUUCAAUGAAGAUAUGCAUUCAACAGCCAAGUGGCUUUAUGUUAAAGAGCAGUUAGGUACCUGGUGGAGUUUUAUGGAUCUGAAUCGAUUUUGCUUUUGAACUUUGCUUUUUGACCCUUUGUUUUUGCACGCCGAUAUUCCUCUUCCUCAUGGAGAAUAUGAGCGAGAAAAGUACUGGGGAAUCCCACUCAACUGGUCUAAGGCUCUUGUUUUGCACUCCCAGUGCUGUUUAAGCCUUUUCUUGUUUAUGCUCUUUUUCCCCUCUUACAUUUACACACAGCCUUGUGUUCCCCAGCACAUGGACUAGCAAGAGGCUUGUGCCUUUAAUACACAACAGCUGUUAGCUGUAAAACGAGUAGAAAACUUAAGCAUUCAGUAAAUACUGUCGAGGGAGUGUACUUGCACUGCAGAUAAUAUCUCAGUGCCAAGCUCAAGUAAAUCUAGCGUGGGUGACUUUGGAUUUGAUGAGUAUCAGCAGCAUUGCUGGAGAGCUCUGGAGAAAGCAUGGUUUAUCCUGGAAUGAUUUAUCCCAUGGUGCAAACAAAGCUGCUGUUGCACCAGAUGCAUUCAGAGCAAGUAAACAACCUUAAAACCCAGUCCCCAGGCCUGCUUUUCUGUCCCAACACUCAGUGGUUUGAUUGCCUAGGGUGUAAUUACUCAUUGUUUGCUACAUACUCAAGUAACAGUAGCAUCUACUCCUUUCUUCUUGAAACACAGCUUCCAGGUGAAUGUUGUCACACACAACACCAGUGCUAACAGCGUUUUACUGAGUACUGAAAAGCAACAGAGCUGCUGCUGCAGGUCAUUAUAUCAAGGUCAUUACCUGAAUUGUGAACUGAGACAUGGCUAUUAAGGUCUCAAUACCUGCAACUUGCCCUUUCCAAUUGCAAACCCAGCUCUGUGAGAUGCUGUUGGAAAUAUCCAAGUAAUUUUUGUCUUAACUUUCAUUGGGCUGCAUUUUUGGCUCUGCCAAGCAUCCCUGAUGCCUGCAAUCCUGUGUAUACCCCAUUUAGGAUUUACAUAACUUCUAGGAGUACAACAUUGCUUUUCCCAGUUUGUGGGAAGCCAGACUUAAAAUUCUCAGUCCAUUGGUCUUGCUUGACAAGUAGCUCCAAUUUUCUCUACUGAAUUUAAUCUCUACAUUCAACUAUUGUAACAUAUCAUGCCCAAAUAAUGGUUUUGGAGAACCUGGCAUGUACAAGAAUUUAUAUAUUCCUACUUGUUCUCCUAGCCUGUAUUUAAUUGGCCCAAAAAAAAGUAAA